GAGGGCAUAGCUCACUGGUAAAGUGCAUGCUUAGCAUGCACAAGGGCCUGGGUUCAAUCCCAGUACUUUCA
This 71-nucleotide transfer RNA is filed under the name Camelus bactrianus (Bactrian camel). It matches the Rfam family "tRNA". From Rfam's summary of the family: Transfer RNA (tRNA) molecules are approximately 80 nucleotides in length. Their secondary structure includes four short double-helical elements and three loops (D, anti-codon, and T loops). Further hydrogen bonds mediate the characteristic L-shaped molecular structure. tRNAs have two regions of fundamental functional importance: the anti-codon, which is responsible for specific mRNA codon recognition, and the 3' end, to which the tRNAs corresponding amino acid is attached (by aminoacyl-tRNA synthetases). tRNAs cope with the degeneracy of the genetic code in two manners: having more than one tRNA (with a specific anti-codon) for a particular amino acid; and 'wobble' base-pairing, i.e. permitting non-standard base-pairing at the 3rd anti-codon position. Lineage: Eukaryota; Metazoa; Chordata; Mammalia; Artiodactyla; Camelidae. RNAcentral also lists the same sequence under 1 other name. The record is from Rfam by way of RNAcentral.